GGAUGUGAUGGCGAUCUGGUUGCGACAUCUGUCACCCUAUAGAUCGCCAGUGUUGAUUUGGCUGAUCUGGCUGGCUAGGCGGGUGUCCCCUUCCUCCCUCACUGCUCCAUGUGCAUCCCUCCUGAAGCUGCAUGCAAGGUCAAAGAGGAUGACCUAGAGGAGAGGACCCUUCUUCAGUCAAGGGUAUAGGAGUAGCUGUGCUCCCCAGCUAGGACCUCCAAACAAGCUCUCAAGGUCCAUUUGUAGGAGAACGUGGGAGAGUCGAGACUCCAGACACAUCCAAAUAAGGCGCUGCUGCGCAUAACAGUCUGCCUUU
RNAcentral lists this small nuclear RNA (316 nucleotides) under Neogale vison (American mink). RNAcentral describes it as "Neovison vison (American mink) 7SK RNA (ENSNVIG00000021465.1)". It matches the Rfam family "7SK RNA". From Rfam's summary of the family: 7SK was discovered as an abundant small nuclear RNA in the mid-70s but a possible function has only recently been suggested. Two independent studies have found that 7SK RNA binds the CDK9/cyclin T complex (known as elongation factor P-TEFb). Lineage: Eukaryota; Metazoa; Chordata; Mammalia; Carnivora; Mustelidae. The record is from RNAcentral.